Molecule: ribosomal RNA, 253 nt
Filed under: uncultured bacterium
Lineage: Bacteria
Description: partial 16S ribosomal RNA
Rfam family: Bacterial small subunit ribosomal RNA
Source: RNAcentral
UACGUAGGGUGCAAGCGUUAAUCGGAAUUACUGGGCGUAAAGGGCGCGUAGGCGGUUUGCUAAGUUGGAUGUGAAAACUCUGGGCUUAACCCAGAGCCUGCAUCCAAAACUGGCAAACUUGAGUACUGGAGGGGAAAGCGGAAUUCCUGGUGUAGCGGUGAAAUGCGUAGAUAUCAGGAGGAACACCGGUGGCGAAGGCGGCUUUCUGGACAGUAACUGACGCUGAGGCGCGAAAGCUAGGGGAGCAAACAGG